This 332-nucleotide unclassified non-coding RNA is filed under the name soil metagenome. RNAcentral's name for it is "partial contains 5.8S ribosomal RNA, internal transcribed spacer 2, and large subunit ribosomal RNA". The stretch from base 1 to 120 matches the Rfam family "5.8S ribosomal RNA", at positions 35 to 154 of the family's 154-position model. The record is from RNAcentral.
GAUGAAGAACGUAGCAAAAUGCGAUAAGUAAUGUGAAUUGCAGAAUUCAGUGAAUCAUCGAAUCUUUGAACGCACAUUGCGCCCGCCAGUAUUCUGGCGGGCAUGCCUGUUCGAGCGUCAUUUCAAACCUCAAGCACAGCUUGGUGUUGGGACUCGCGUUAAUUCGCGUUCCUCAAAUUGAUUGGCGGUCACGUCGAGCUUCCAUAGCGUAGUAGUAAAACCCUCGUUACUGGUAAUCGUCGCGGCCACGCCGUUAAACCCCAACUUCUGAAUGUUGACCUCGGAUCAGGUAGGAAUACCCGCUGAACUUAAGCAUAUCAAUAAGCGGAGGA